RNAcentral lists this ribosomal RNA (722 nucleotides) under Liolaemus cuyanus. Its description in RNAcentral is "partial 12S ribosomal RNA". It matches the Rfam family "Bacterial small subunit ribosomal RNA", at positions 74 to 1350 of the family's 1533-position model. Lineage: Eukaryota; Metazoa; Chordata; Lepidosauria; Squamata. The record is from RNAcentral.
GCCCUUAUAAGCGCCAAGGAGCAGGUAUCAGGCACAACUACUUAGCCCAAAACACCUUGCUACGCCACACCCACACGGGCACCCAGCAGUGAUAAAUAUUAAGCAAUGAGUGAAAGCCAAGCUAAGCUCGACUUAGUUAUGAUCAUUAGGGCCGGUAAACCUCGUGCCAGCCACCGCGGUUAUACGAGGGGCCCAAAACAGCAGAUACCGGCGUAAAUUGUGACUAGAGCACCUACUUAUUAAUAGUGAGAAGUAAACAAAAGCCCGACCGUAAAACCUGGGCCAAAAGAAACACACCUUCCCAAUUAUAAAGUAACUUGAACCCACGAAGACUAAGAAACAAACUAGGAUUAGAUACCCUACUAUGCUUAGUUGUUAAUACGACAUCAAAAAACACUGAUGUCCGCCAGAGAAUUACACGCGAAAAGCUUAAAACUCAAAGGACUUGGCGGUGCUCCGUAUUCGUCUUAGAGGAGCCUGUCCUAUAAUCGAUAACCCACGCUUUACCUCACCAUCUUUUGUUAAAAUCAGCCUAUAUACCGCCGUCGCAAACUUACCCCAUGAGGGCACAACAGUAAGUAAAAGAGUAACACACUAACACGUCAGGUCAAGGUGUAGCUAAUAAGAUGGAAGAGAUGGGCUACAUUUUCUAAAACAGAACACACGGCAAAGGACAUUGAAAUAAAUGCCCUCAAAGGUGGAUUUAAUAGUAAGAUAGAAGA